This is a long non-coding RNA of Erinaceus europaeus (western European hedgehog), 972 nucleotides long. RefSeq lists it as uncharacterized. NCBI's taxonomy places the organism in Eukaryota, Metazoa, Chordata, Mammalia, Eulipotyphla, Erinaceidae. The transcript is spliced from 3 exons. The record is from RefSeq and is a predicted model, not a curated record.
CGCGUCCCAGGGCAGGUCUCCUGGCUCUCACACAGGCAGAUACAGGGUAGCAGCAGCUCGCAUGAAGUGUGACUGUGCCUUUCUGUGUCUGCGUGGUUUCCUGCUGCGUCUACUCCCUCCACCCCCCAAAUCAUCUGGAGAGCAGAACUGAGUGGGGAACCAAGGUGGGGGCCAGGAGGCUUGAACCUGAGUCCUUGUGCAUUGUGACAUGUACACUCAACCAGGUUUGUCACCUGCUGCAGCUCCUCAGGGCAGAGAGGAACCUCUCAGCUGAUGAUGAUCUCCAGGUUCGACUCCUGGAUCUCUGCUGUGGGGCUGAGCUUUCUGUCCUGUCAGAGGGGCUGUUCUCCCAUCAGGGCCGGAAACAGCCCACCUGCUAUCUCUGAGUCUCCGUCUAGGUCUGGGAAGGACCCUUGUUUCUGAUGUGGGGUCUGGGACAGGACAGCUCUGGCCUCUGGGUGGAAUGUCACUUAUUUCUUUCUGCUCCUGGGGGAAGAACCAAGCUUGAACCAUUUUCUCCCAAGGCAGCAGAACUUCAGCUUGGUGGUGUCCAUCUGCACCUUCAUUUCUCCCUCUCAGCAGCUCAGAGCCAGGCUCUAUAACUCCCCCUCUCAUAAGAAAGGGAACUGAGACAUGGAGAGCUGCCUGCUGGUAAAUUUUUGUAAGCAAAACAAUGUGGGCUUGACCUCAGGACUUUCUGGUUGCAAAGAGCAAGCUGUCUGCAACACAGCAGGGGCCUCACACCCAGUGGAUUCUGCACUCAAGGGCAGAGGGGCCACUCUGUGUUCAAGAAUUAGCAUUUGGUGUCCAGUCCCCAAGGGAAUGUGAUGACCAUCUGAGACAUAAGCUCCUCCCACUGGCUCCUCACUGGGUCCGGGGGAUCCCUCCUGAGUGUUUUUCCUAUGAAAUGAGAGGGUGGUGUAAUGCACCUCCUGCUCAGUCCCCAAGGUGGGGACAGUGGGGACAUGUGGU